UGGCCUGUUAGAUGCCUGGGUAAAUCGAUGCGCUUAACGCAUCGAACUCCGGGUAGACCGGCAGGCUCGAGACCGGGAGAGGUGUAGGCUACUCGCGGGGUAGGGGUAAAAUCCUGUAAUCCUGCGGGGAGGACCAGUGGCGAAGGCGCUACACUAGAACGGCUCUGACAGUGAGGGACGAAGCCCUGGGGCGCAAACCGGAUUAGAUACCCGGGUAGUCCAGGGUGUAAACGCUGCAGACUUGGUGUCGGUGAUCCUACGAGGGUUGCCGGUGCCGGAGAGAAGUUGUUGAGUCUGCCGCCUGGGGA
RNAcentral lists this ribosomal RNA (308 nucleotides) under uncultured archaeon. RNAcentral's name for it is "bacterial SSU rRNA". It matches the Rfam family "Archaeal small subunit ribosomal RNA", at positions 526 to 834 of the family's 1478-position model. The record is from RNAcentral.